GUGGGGAAUAUUGGACAAUGGGCGAAAGCCUGAUCCAGCCAUGCCGCGUGUGUGAAGAAAGUCUUCGGAUUGUAAAGCACUUUAAGUUGGGAGGAAGGGCAGUAAGUUAAUACCUUGCUGUUUUGACGUUACCGACAGAAUAAGCACCGGCUAACUUCGUGCCAGCAGCCGCGGUAAUACGAAGGGUGCAAGCGUUAAUCGGAAUUACUGGGCGUAAAGCGCGCGUAGGUGGUUUUGUAAGUUGGAGGUGAAAUCCCCGGGCUCAACCUGGGAACUGCCUCCAAAACUGCAUGACUAGAGUACGGUAGAGGGUAGUGGAAUUUCCUGUGUAGCGGUGAAAUGCGUAGAUAUAGGAAGGAACACCAGUGGCGAAGGCGACUACCUGGACUGAUACUGACACUGAGGUGCGAAAGCGUGGGGAGCAAACAGGAUUAGAUACCCCUGUAGUCC
This 450-nucleotide ribosomal RNA is filed under the name uncultured bacterium. RNAcentral's name for it is "bacterial SSU rRNA". It matches the Rfam family "Bacterial small subunit ribosomal RNA", at positions 354 to 796 of the family's 1533-position model. The record is from RNAcentral.